UAGGGAAUAUUGCACAAUGGGGGAAACCCUGAUGCAGCGACGCCGCGUGAAGGAAGAAGUAUCUCGGUAUGUAAACUUCUAUCAGCAGGGAAGACAAUGACGGUACCUGACUAAGAAGCCCCGGCUAACUACGUGCCAGCAGCCGCGGUAAUACGUAGGGGGCAAGCGUUAUCCGGAUUUACUGGGUGUAAAGGGAGCGCAGGCGGUCUUGCAAGUCUGAUGUGAAAGCCCGCGGCUCAACUGCGGGACUGCAUUGGAAACUGUGGGACUUGAGUGUCGGAGGGGUAAGCGGAAUUCCUAGUGUAGCGGUGAAAUGCGUAGAUAUUAGGAGGAACACCAGUGGCGAAGGCGGCCUGCUGGACUGUAACUGACGUUGAGGCUCGAAAGCGUGGGGAGCAAACAGGAUUAGAUACC
RNAcentral lists this ribosomal RNA (414 nucleotides) under uncultured bacterium. Its description in RNAcentral is "bacterial SSU rRNA". It matches the Rfam family "Bacterial small subunit ribosomal RNA", at positions 355 to 786 of the family's 1533-position model. The record is from RNAcentral.